UACGUAGGGCGCAAGCGUUGUCCGGAAUUAUUGGGCGUAAAGAGCUCGUAGGUGGCUUGUCACGUCGGGUGUUAAAGCUUGGGGCUUAACUCCAGGUCUGCAUUCGAUACGGGCUGGCUAGAGGUAGGUAGGGGAGAACGGAAUUCCUGGUGUAGCGGUGAAAUGCGCAGAUAUCAGGAGGAACACCGGUGGCGAAGGCGGUUCUCUGGGCCUUACCUGACGCUGAGGAGCGAAAGCGUGGGGAGCGAACAGG
RNAcentral lists this ribosomal RNA (253 nucleotides) under uncultured bacterium. Its description in RNAcentral is "partial 16S ribosomal RNA". It matches the Rfam family "Bacterial small subunit ribosomal RNA", at positions 524 to 776 of the family's 1533-position model. The record is from RNAcentral.